CGCAUUGGUGAACGUGACGGUGAAGUCACAUGCGCGUAAGGCAUGUGACUGACAGGGAACACGGUGAGACGCCUGCAACGUCGAAGCCGAGGCUGCGCCCGCAACUGUAAGCGGCGAGUUGACUCCAAAGAUGCCACUGAUCGUUGGCAACAAUGAUCGGGAAGGCUGGAGAGCAACGCUAGAGCCGCGAGCCAGGAGACCGACCGGCACGAGUCGCCCAUC
Non-coding RNA from Hyphomicrobium sp. SCN 65-11, 222 nucleotides. The record is from Rfam. NCBI's taxonomy places the organism in Bacteria, Pseudomonadati, Pseudomonadota, Alphaproteobacteria, Hyphomicrobiales, Hyphomicrobiaceae.